GUAGGGAAUAUUGCACAAUGGAGGAAACUCUGAUGCAGCGACGCCGCGUGAGUGAUGAAGGCCUUCGGGUCGUAAAGCUCUGUCGCAGGGGAAUAACACAAUGAAGGUACCCUGUAAGAAAGGAUCGGCUAACUUCGUGCCAGCAGCCGCGGUAAGACGAGGGAUCCUAGCGUUGUUCGGAAUCAUUGGGCGUAAAGCGGAUGUAGGUGGCUAUGUAAGUCAGAUGUGAAAGCCUGGGGCUCAACCCCAGAAGUGCAUUUGAUACUGCGUAGCUUGAGUGUCGGAGAGGUUACUAGAAUUGGUGGUGUAGUGGUGAAAUACGUAGAUAUCAACAGGAAUACCGGAGGCGAAGGCGGGUAACUGGCCGAACACUGACACUGAGAUCCGAAAGCGUGGGGAUCAAACAGGAUUAGAAACCCGAGUAGUCC
RNAcentral lists this ribosomal RNA (428 nucleotides) under uncultured bacterium. Its description in RNAcentral is "partial 16S ribosomal RNA". It matches the Rfam family "Bacterial small subunit ribosomal RNA", at positions 354 to 796 of the family's 1533-position model. The record is from RNAcentral.